This 649-nucleotide long non-coding RNA is filed under the name Nicotiana benthamiana. Its description in RNAcentral is "long non-coding RNA (NBEN_LNC025912)". Lineage: Eukaryota; Viridiplantae; Streptophyta; Magnoliopsida; Solanales; Solanaceae. The record is from RNAcentral.
UCACAAAUCAACCAACACGCGUAUCAAACGAUCAUAAUACAAUGAAAUGAGAAUGAGAAUUGAGAAAUUGGCCUUUUAUUGAUGAACAAAAUUAAAAAUUGCAAAUCAACCAGGAAAAACAAAGCAAUAAUCCUUGGACCGAAACACUAAAAUUACAAACCGAAACCUCAAAUCGACACCGAAAAGCAGCUCAGUCAAACGAUAAACUAAAUUGCGCAAGAUUUCAUAGAUUUCAGCCGGCAAGCCGUUGAUACUGUAUUUCCUGCAGUAUCUGUUCGAGAUCUGGUAUAGCAACAAAGUAGCCUUCUACAUUCAACGAUUUAGGAGGAACGAAACAGCGGCUUCUUUGCCUUUUGAAUUGAAAAAAUGUGUUUCAUUUUGGAAUUGCUGUCAUUCACCUUUUCUGUUGUCUUCAAUCGGAGACAAUCGUCUCCUUCCCUUUAAUGGAAUAUGCCGUUUUCUUUUUCGUUUCUUAUCCUAGGUAUAGCUCAUUUUUUGGGGGGGUUUUGUUUUUUCCAAAUCUGAUGGAAACGGCAGUCUCUUUUCUUGCGCAGCUGAAGCUCUUUUGUAUAAGAGUGUAUGGUGUAUUUUAGGUGUAGAUAUUAUUAAAUAAGGUAGGAAUUAGGGUAGGAGAAUAGGCUUAGGUUAU